RNAcentral lists this ribosomal RNA (494 nucleotides) under uncultured bacterium. RNAcentral describes it as "bacterial SSU rRNA". It matches the Rfam family "Bacterial small subunit ribosomal RNA", at positions 33 to 507 of the family's 1533-position model. The record is from RNAcentral.
CGACGCUGGCGGCGUGCCUAACACAUGCAAGUCGAGCGGGGUUAUUGGGGUUCAGCUUGCUGAACGCCACUGACCCAGCGGCGGACGGGUGAGUAACGCGUGAGCAAUCUGCCUCAUACAGGGGGAUAACAGGCGGAAACGCCUGCUAAUACCGCAUAAGACCACGCCACCGCAUGGUGGAGCGGUCAAAGGGUGCACAGACGAGAGGCUGUGCAUACCGGUAUGAGAUGAGCUCGCGUCCCAUUAGCUUGUUGGUGAGGUAACGGCUCACCAAGGCGACGAUGGGUAGCCGACCUGAGAGGGUGAUCGGCCACACUGGGACUGAGACACGGCCCAGACUCCUACGGGAGGCAGCAGUGGGGAAUAUUGCGCAAUGGGGGGAACCCUGACGCAGCAACGCCGCGUGAGCGAAGAAGACCUUCGGGUCGUAAAGCUCUGUCAUAGGGGAAGAGGAGAAGACGGUACCCUAUGAGGAAGCCCCGGCUAACUACGUG